Molecule: ribosomal RNA, 428 nt
Filed under: uncultured archaeon
Lineage: Archaea
Description: bacterial SSU rRNA
Rfam family: Archaeal small subunit ribosomal RNA
Source: RNAcentral
UACCUGCAGCUCGAGUGGUAACCGCUAUUAUUGGGCCUAAAGCGUCCGUAGCCGGUUUGGUAAAUAUCUGGGUAAAUCGUGAGGCUUAACUUCACGAAUUUCGGAUAGACUGCCAGACUUGGGAUCGGGGGAGGUCAGAGGUACUCCAGGGGUAGCGGUGAAAUGUUGUAAUCCUUGGAGGACCACCGGUAGCGAAGGCGUCUGACUAGAACGAGUCCGAGGUGAGGGACGAAGCCCUGGGGCGCAAACCGGAUUAGAUACCCGGGUAGUCCAGGGUGUAAACGAUGUGGGCUUUGUAUUGGAGGUCCCACGUGGGCGUCCAGUGCAGAAGAGAAGUUGUUAAGCCCACCGCCUGGGAAGUACGGUAGCAAGGCUGAAACUUAAAGGAAUUGGCGGGGGAGCACAGCAACGGGAGGAGUGUGCGGUUU